RNA transcript from Sapajus apella (tufted capuchin), 1955 nucleotides. It is a transcript of the gene named male-specific lethal 3 homolog pseudogene, with no coding region annotated. Lineage: Eukaryota; Metazoa; Chordata; Mammalia; Primates; Cebidae. The transcript is spliced from 3 exons. The record is from RefSeq and is a predicted model, not a curated record.
UGGUGUUGAUUGACUCUGUCUUAAAAGGCCUCUCUAUUAAAGAAAAAGAUGAAAGUGAUGAAAAUUUAUUAAACAGUUCCUCUGACAGCAACAAAGACUAGGAUAAAGAAAGAAGUAAAGAAAGUGUUAUUGAAGAAAAGCCUGAAGUGAAAGAACCAGAGCUUCAAACAAAAAGAGAAAUGGAAGAAAGAAUAGUAACUAUAGAAAUCCCUGAAGUUCUGAGGCAGCAGGAGGAUGAUUGUUAUUACUAACAGGAUGAAAUGUUAGUUAAACUUUCAUGCCAGAUCAACACCAUAAUGAUUUUGGAAUCCUAUGUCAAACAUUUUGCUAUGAAUGCAGCCUUUUCAGCCAAUGAGACGCCUAGUCACCAUCACGCUAUGCCACAUGCCAACACGAACGUGCAUUAUAUCCCAGAAGAAAAGAAUGUGACCUUUAUAAAGAUGGUGGAUGGAUUAAGAAUAACAUUUGAGGCUGGGCGCGGUGGCUCAACUCAGCAUAAAAAGACGCCACUGAACUCCAGCCUCAGCAGCAGAGUGAGACUUGGUCUCAAAAAAAAAAAGGUGACCUCAUCUAAAUUUUUUCUCCCAAUUAAGGAAAGUGCCACAAACACUAAUAGGAGGCAGAAGGAAGUCUCUCUCAGCCUGCCUCUGUUGAAUCCAUCCCUGUGACAGUCCACAGAGAGUCGGCCAACCACUGGUGAACUAACAAAGGUGCAAAGCUGAGUUGGAAGCAUUGCAGUCUCUGAGGCUGUCCAUGUGCCACACCGCCAACUGUGACAGACUUUCUGAGAGCAGCACCUCACCUCAGCCCAAGCGCUGGCAGCAGGACAUAUCCGCCAGCAUGACCAAGCUGCUCCUGCACCUGGAAAAGAAGACACCUGUGCUUGGCAGAUCAUCUUCACCUAUUCCUCUGACUCCUAGCAAGGAAGGGAGUACAGUGUUCGCUGGCUCUGAAGGGAGAAAAACUAAUGAAAUGAAUGAGGUCCUCUCCUGGAAGGCUGUGCCUGACAAUUACCCACCAGGUGACCAGCUGUCUCCAUCCUCUUACAUUUACAGGCCAUAACAUUUGCUGCAAUUGUUUAUAAAACUUCCAGAAAUCCUUGGAAAGAUGUCCUUUUCUGAGAAAAAUCUGAAGACUUUUUUGAAGCACUCUGAUGUCUAUUUGAGGUUUUCAGCAGAAUACCAUGAUGACUUUUUCCCAGAGUCAGCUUAUGUUGCUGCCUGUGAGGUGUGUUACCGCACCAAGAAUCCCUGGGCAAUUUCUUAAAGUGUUGGUGGUUCUGUAAGAACAACUGCUCUGUCUAGCUUGGCGCUCUGGGUUCCAGACAAACAACUGUCAAGGUGGUGGGUCUUUACCCAGAGCACAAACACAAUGCCCACUUGGUGGCUCUGACAGAGGUGGGCCCUAUUGUUUGAGUUGCCCACAUAAUGUAGUUAUUCUGUUAAGGAUUAUUUCCUGGGUGCCUGAAAGUGCUCUGACACACACUUGCUACUGUGCAGGCCAUGUGUGAUGGCAGGAGAAAAGCAACUAUGCUCACAGUGAAAUGUUCACAGAAGAGUACAUAGGUUAGGCCAUUUCAAUAGACAUUGCAGUUAAUUAGCAAGAACCACAUUGUUUUGUUAUUUGUUACCAUCAAACAGAAUUUUUUUUGCAAAUUGGUUUCAUUCUUUUGAUGAAGCUGAGCAACUCUGUCCAACAAUGUUUAGUUUGUACUUGGAAACCACAAAAUAGUUCCAAAGUGUUUUAGAGGGAGUCAAUAUUGAUGGCAAAAGAAAAUUUGCAGCUAUAAAUUUGCUUCUAACAAUUUCCUCUCUGCAAAACAUUAUUUUUGGUGAUCGAAAGAAAGCACUGCCUUUCUUGUUUGAGAUUUUACAGCUAUACUUUGCUAUGUAAUGUUAUGGUUCCCUUUCUGUAAAGUGUUAUUUUUGGUGAUCUAUAUAAAGCCUUUCUUUUUU